RNAcentral lists this ribosomal RNA (378 nucleotides) under uncultured eukaryote. RNAcentral's name for it is "partial 18S ribosomal RNA". It matches the Rfam family "Eukaryotic small subunit ribosomal RNA", at positions 592 to 976 of the family's 1831-position model. The record is from RNAcentral.
CAAUAGCGUAUAUUAACGUUGUUGCAGUUAAAAAGCUCGUAGUUGGAUUUCGGGUGGGACGCAGCGGUCUCGCAUUGCGUUUGUACUGCUGCAGCCCUCCUUCUUGCCGGGGGCGGCCUCUCGGACUUCACUGUCUGGGGGUCAGAAUCGGCGAUGUUACUUUGAGUAAAUUAGAGUGUUCAAAGCAAGCUUACGCUCUGAAUAUAAUAGCAUGGGAUAACACGACAGGACUCUGGCCUAUCGUGUUGGUCUAUAGGACCAGAGUAAUGAUUAAGAGGGACAGUCGGGGGCAUUCGUAUUCCGUUGUCAGAGGUGAAAUUCUUGGAUUUACGGAAGACGAACAUCUGCGAAAGCAUUUGCCAAGGAUGUUUUCAUUGA